Molecule: transfer RNA, 67 nt
Filed under: Polyura nepenthes
Lineage: Eukaryota; Metazoa; Arthropoda; Insecta; Lepidoptera; Nymphalidae
Description: tRNA-Leu
Source: RNAcentral
GCUAUUUUGGCAAAAAAAUGUCAUGGUUUUAGAAAUCAUUAAUAUAUAAUUUAUUAUAUAGAUAGUA